UGGGGAAUUUUGGACAAUGGGCGCAAGCCUGAUCCAGCCAUGCCGCGUGAGUGAAGAAGGCCUUCGGGUUGUAAAGCUCUUUCAGACGGAAAGAAAUCUCUUGGGCGAAUACCCUGGGAGGAUGACGGUACCGUAAGAAGAAGCACCGGCUAACUACGUGCCAGCAGCCGCGGUAAUACGUAGGGUGCGAGCGUUAAUCGGAAUUACUGGGCGUAAAGCGUGCGCAGGCGGUUAUAUAAGACAGAUGUGAAAUCCCCGGGCUCAACCUGGGACCUGCAUUUGUGACUGUAGAGCUAGAGUACGGUAGAGGGGGAUGGAAUUCCGCGUGUAGCAGUGAAAUUCGUAGAUAUUCGGAGGAACACCAGUGGCGAAGGCGGCUCACUGGUCCAUUACUGACGCUGAGGUGCGAAAGCGUGGGGAGCAAACA
Molecule: ribosomal RNA, 427 nt
Filed under: uncultured bacterium
Lineage: Bacteria
Description: bacterial SSU rRNA
Rfam family: Bacterial small subunit ribosomal RNA
Source: RNAcentral